RNAcentral lists this ribosomal RNA (331 nucleotides) under uncultured eukaryote. RNAcentral's name for it is "partial 18S ribosomal RNA". It matches the Rfam family "Eukaryotic small subunit ribosomal RNA", at positions 592 to 976 of the family's 1831-position model. The record is from RNAcentral.
CAAUAGCGUAUAUUAAAGUUGUUGCAGUUAAAAAGCUCGUAGUUGAAUUUCGGGUGCUCGUAGUCGGUCCUUCAUUGGGCUGGCGCGUGUGCUCUCCCCGCCUUUGGCGGCCUUUACUGUGAAAAAAUUAGAGUGUUCAAAGCAGGCAAUCGCUUGAAUACAUUAGCAUGGAAUAAUAAGAUAGGAUCUUGUCUAUUUUGUUGGUUGCGGACAAAGAUAAUGAUUAAUAGGGAUAGUUGGGGGUGUCCGUAUUGAGCUGUCAGAGGUGAAAUUCUUGGAUUUGCUCAAGACGAACUGCUGCGAAAGCGUUCACCAAGGAUGUUUUCAUUAA